GGCGAACCACUUUCCUAAGACACCCUGUAUAUAUUAGUUUGAAAAUUAGUAGCAAUUGAUGUCCGAAGUAGGAGUUGUUUUAAGAGAUAAAAAAUCAAAAUAGGAGUUUGUAAAUGCUUCGCGAUAUAAUUGAAUAAUGUGGAACGCCGAUGGCCAUCAGAUGCGGUUAACCUCCUUUCGCUACCGGUCUAUCAAUGCAUUAAAGUACUUAUUGAGUCUGUGAAAGAGAAUGGUGUGAAAGAUGCGGUCUGUUCAACAAAAAAUUAUUUUUUAUGCGAUGAUUGUUGGGGCAAGUGGGCUUUGUGAAGAUAAUUUUAAGAAUAAUACCAAUGUGAGCCUCAGAGGCAAUGAUGUUAAAAGUAGAAGGAAUUUCGAAGAAUAUGAUAAUACUGAACGUGGUGAAGAUUUUCCACGUAAAAGGCAAGAUCAGAGCAACAUCCUUAAUCAACUCAUACCCGUGUUGGCCAUUCCUUUUCUUGCCCAAACAACCACAAUGCCAAUGGUACUUUUAGGAAUAAAAAUGAUACUGAUACAGAGUAUCAUUUUG
Molecule: long non-coding RNA, 547 nt
Organism: Anthonomus grandis grandis
Lineage: Eukaryota; Metazoa; Arthropoda; Insecta; Coleoptera; Curculionidae
Exons: 3
Source: RefSeq, a predicted model, not a curated record